RNAcentral lists this unclassified non-coding RNA (295 nucleotides) under Hevea brasiliensis (rubber tree). The record is from RNAcentral. Lineage: Eukaryota; Viridiplantae; Streptophyta; Magnoliopsida; Malpighiales; Euphorbiaceae.
GUCAGAUUUAACAUAUACGUAUUUAUUCAAACUGAACCAAUCAAACCGAUUUUGAAUGUGAAUCAACACAGUAAAUCAUAAAGUCGAUAUCUUCGAUUUUCACGAUAAAAAGAAUUAAAUUCAGAUGUCGAUUUAACACUCAUGUACAUGUUAAACUAAAUAAUUAAAAUACAAUUUAGUGCCAAUAAAAAUAUAAUAUAUGCACGUGAGAGAGGCAAACAGUAGAUAUUUUAAUUUGGAAUACGCAUUUGGUACGGGUUAUUUAUUAUGUUCACUCGAAAUUCAAACUGAAAAU